Molecule: ribosomal RNA, 453 nt
Filed under: uncultured Porphyromonadaceae bacterium
Lineage: Bacteria; Pseudomonadati; Bacteroidota; Bacteroidia; Bacteroidales; Porphyromonadaceae
Description: partial 16S ribosomal RNA
Rfam family: Bacterial small subunit ribosomal RNA
Source: RNAcentral
ACGGAAGGCAGCAGUGAGGAAUAUUGGUCAAUGGACGGAAGUCUGAACCAGCCAAGUCGCGUGAAGGAUGAAGGUAUUAUGUAUUGUAAACUUCUUUAGCAGUGGAGUAAUAAGGGGAUCGCGAUCCCUGAUGCAAGUACACUGAGAAUAAGGAUCGGCUAACUCCGUGCCAGCAGCCGCGGUAAUACGGAGGAUCCGAGCGUUAUCCGGAUUUAUUGGGUUUAAAGGGUGCGCAGGCGGCUUUUUAAGUCAGUGGUUAAAUCGUGACGCUCAACGUCAUCACGCCAUUGAUACUGGAGAGCUUGAUUGCGGUCGAGGUUUGCGGAAUUCGUUGUGUAGCGGUGAGAUGCAUAGAUAUGACGAAGAACACCGAUUGCGUAGGCGGCAGACCAGGCCGUAAAUGACGCUCAUGCACGAAAGUGCGGGGAUCGAACAGGAUUAGAUACCCUGGUA